RNAcentral lists this ribosomal RNA (207 nucleotides) under uncultured bacterium. RNAcentral describes it as "partial 16S ribosomal RNA". It matches the Rfam family "Bacterial small subunit ribosomal RNA", at positions 568 to 774 of the family's 1533-position model. The record is from RNAcentral.
UGCGUAGGUGGUGAUGCAAGUCUGGUGUGAAAUCUCGGAGCUUACCUCCGAAAUUGCACCGGAUACUGCGUUGCUCGAGGACUGUAGAGGAGAUCGGAAUUCACGGUGUAGCAGUGAAAUGCGUAGAUAUCGUGAGGAAGACCAGUUGCGAAGGCGGAUCUCUGGGCAGUUCCUGACACUGAGGCACGAAGGCCAGGGGAGCAAACG